Molecule: long non-coding RNA, 598 nt
Filed under: Prunus dulcis (almond)
Lineage: Eukaryota; Viridiplantae; Streptophyta; Magnoliopsida; Rosales; Rosaceae
Description: sRNA ncRNA
Source: RNAcentral
CCAACUGAAUCAAAUUCUCUCCUCAUGAACUCCUCAAAUGUCAAAGGAUCAUCCCCACUUACACUUUCUGCAUUUCCAUUAGUAUCCUUCUUAUUUUCUUGAGCAUUCUCUUUAUGCUUUUCCACUUCCUUUUCCAAAUAUAAAGAGUACUGUUUAUCUGGAUCCUCGAGUAGACAUAUCAUUGAUUCUAACAAAUGCUUCCAUCCGGAUAAAGGGACCAAACACUCGUACAGAGUUUUAGCGCGAUGAUCAAGAAAUACAUCAAGAAGUUCAGCAUUACCAUCGACCUUCAUUCGCUUCUUGUUCCCAAAGAGAAUUAUAUCUCCAAGUCCAUACUUACCAUACUCAAGUGAAUGAUUAACCAAUCUCCGGAGCCGUGCUGCCACCUCUAAAACCGCAAUAUUGGUGGGAGCACAUGUUAGUGUUCUGCACUUCAACUUAAACAGAGCAAAGAGUGAUAGACUGACGGUCUUUGUUUUCCCAGUACCAGGAGGACCCCAUAUUAAUUUGACAGCAUUCUGGUGUUGGCAUUUGCUCAAACUAAUACAGUUUAAAAUUGCAGCUUCUUGGGACUCAUUUAGACUAUGAGAGCUAAUUG